Long non-coding RNA from Cercocebus atys (sooty mangabey), 2349 nucleotides. RefSeq lists it as uncharacterized. NCBI's taxonomy places the organism in Eukaryota, Metazoa, Chordata, Mammalia, Primates, Cercopithecidae. The record is from RefSeq and is a predicted model, not a curated record. The transcript is spliced from 3 exons.
GUGUGGUGGUAGGCACCUGUAAUCCCAGCUACUUGGGAGGCUAAGGCAGUAGAAUUGCUUGACGCCUGGAGGCGCUUGAACAUCCUCUGGCUCAGGCCUCCCUCCACGAAGGUGCUCUCUCUGGGAGACCAACACACAGCCAGAGGCUACCUGGGUAUCUUGAGGCAAAGGCUAGGAUUGCCUAGGGAGAGAUUUUAAUGAAGUCACAAGAGGGCCCUCUGAUAAUUCCUUACUCCUAGGGCUGAACAGGGAGCACCUCUCUCUGGGCAGGGCUUAGCUGGUUACUAGCCUCAGACCCUCCUUUGUCUAAGCUCUAUUUGGAAGCCUUGAAGACACCUGCUGACGCCAGAGCAGACCAGCAGAUGGGUGAAUGCUCUGUCUUCGGCACUCACCCUUGCUCCCUGCCUCCAGUCAUCCAGGCUCUGGUCGAAGCUCUCUACCAGCCCAACACCCUCCCCAUGUUCCAAUUGCCCUAUCAAACUAGCACUCCCUGUGGUCGUGGUGGUGGGGAGAGCAAUCAGUUUAAAUUUAUAAAACGAUUUGCACUAAGGUAUAAGUGAGCCACGACUUCACCUUCCCAUGGGCAUUAGCUUUUUAAAAAGGAAGUCUGUUAACCUAAAUUCUGCUCUAUAAUUAGUGGAAAGUGAUGUGUGGGAAUUCUGAGUCCAGGAGGGGAUGGCAUCCAGGUCUCCUUACCUAUCCUGGAGCACAGCAAGAAGAAAACCAGAUGAACAGGAGCCAAACACCCUCUCUUUUCCUCCAGCAACACCCCACAAUUGUUUGAGGAGGCAGGCAAGGCCUUAGAAUCAUGAAGCUGACCUUGGGGGUGGGCCUCCAACUUCUCCCCUGGCUGGUUAGGAAAAGCCUGCCCAUGACUUUUUCCUCUGCCAGAGUGAGGCUGCCCAGUCUCAAUUCCCCUGCUCUGGGCAGGCUGGAGAGAGCUCCUAGGAGGUGAAGGGGACUACAUAUGCCCCAGGCAGAGGCAGGCAGGCAGGCAGGCAGGCAGGCAGAACCUUCCUGCGCUUCGGCCUGCAUGGGCCGCGCGUAAGGGGCUGGUAAGCCAGGAGUCCUGGAGUCCGGCCCAGGUGCAUCCUUCAUGGUCAGCCGGACCUGCCUUGCUUCCUGCCUGGGAAAGCCCUAAAUUGGCCUGGGCGGGCGCGCUGUGCGGCUCUGGGACCCGCCGCGAGGCAAAGUCCGCCCUGGGCCCUUCCACACGGACGCAGGCAGCCUCUGUCAACAGCCCCUGGCUUAUCUGCUGCUGCUGUGGCUGUUUGCCUUCGGGGAGGCCCCGGCGGGCCUAGGGGUGGGGAAGGCCUGGAAGCCGCAGCCUUGGAGCUGGAAAGGCCCUCAGCGGCGAUUUGCACCGACUCCGGACGGCUCGGGGGCGGCGGGGUCGCCCAGGUCCUCGAGGCUUGACCUCAGCCGGGGCGGUCUCUCCUACACCGAGGCAUGGGCUGCGGGACCUCCUCCUAGCACACUCCCUCUCCCAGGCACUUCGCCGAGUCCCUGCGGGCGGAAGAGGCAAACGGGACGCGCCCGCGCUUCGCGCCCUUUCGCCUGCGCCGCCUCUGAGGUGUCAGAACUUCGGCGGGGGCCGCGCCCCCGGAGCUGCUGCUCAGGCUUUUCCCCACACUCCACCAUCCUGCGAAGCCCCGGCAUCCGCCCCCUGACCUAGGCAAGGGUUACCCCAGAAACGAUCCUGGGUCCGGGGCUGCCCUGAGCACCGCGGGAGAAGGGGAAGCGGCAGGGCUCGUAACCGAGCCCGGCGCACCCAGCACCUGGCGGCGGGAGGUGUUCCUGAUCUGUGAGGCUUUUCCCUUCUGGUAUCACUGACAAACCCCAUCGCCCUCCGGCAUUGUGAACCCCUGCAAGUCGCCACAGCUUCCCCGCCUUGUCCCAUCGAGUGUGCGGCGGAGCAGACGCGCGGCCACAGCUCUCCCCGCCCUGCCGAGCCGACCCGACCCGGCCUUCUGGGCAGGCCCCAGACGCCCGAGGCCAGGGGCGCCCCUCGCCUCUUCCUCGGCCUCAGGGACACUUGUCUAACGUGGAUCUAAAGCAAGUCCUGCGCGCUGACCACGGACAGUUAUUCAAGCUGCACGUUGCCGCGGCUCCGGCUCUCACUGUCGCUCAGCAGGUCGUCCUCCGAGUCCUCGAGCAGCGACGAGGAGCCAGUGGAGGAGACCGACGAGGUGGAAAGGCGGCGCGGCUGCUGCAGGAGCUCGGGGCUUGGAGUCCGCUGUGCGGCGUUCAGCAAGUUAUUUCACUUCCCUUGACUGCGGAUUCUCCCGUUGCCGCGAGAGUAGAAUAAAAGAUUUGAAAUCAGGUACACCACACUCUAGAUGUGAUUUU